CCUGACCUUUUAUGUUUUUUAGAUGAACAUAAGUCUGUACUUACACAAAAGUAGACGAAAAAAAGAAAGAGAAAGUAAAAUUGACUUUUUUUUUUUGACAUGCAGUUCUCUGAGUUUUAUUGUGUGCAAAUUUGUGUGACUAGGUGAAGAGCAGGGCUGUCAGCUGCUACUGCCGCCCUGCUGUCUGUUCUCAGUUGUUGUUCCUUGCACGGAUAAGAACGCCCUACAGAUGGAAUCAUGUGUCUCACCUUUUGAAACUGCUGCUGUCAGUAUAGUAUCUUAAGGGUCAGCAAGGGCAGGAGGGCUAAAUGGCUUGUUGUCUGUUCCCCAGUUGGAGGACAUUUGUGUUGUUUCUGGAUUUUGAUGAUUAGGUUUUGGUGUGAACAUUCAUUUUCAUGAUCAUGGUAUCUCCCCUGCCAGGUAAGUAUGAACAUUCGUUUUCAUUUCUCUUGUAUACAUACAUAGAAGCGGGAUUGCUGGGUUGUAUAAGUCUUUUUUUAACUUCCAGACUUUUCCAGAGCAGCUGAAGCAUUUUGCGUUCCCACCAGCACUUUGUAUAGGCCCGGCUGCUGUCAGGUCUGUUAAAGCAGUUCUAACAGGUAUGCAGUAGUAGCUUUUUGUGUUUUAAUUUGUGUUUCCCAUGUGAAUGAAGAUGUUUGUACCUUCUAAUGGGCUCAUUUGCUGCAUGGUGGCUGCUUGCUGUGGCACAUACACCAGCACACCCUCAGGACAGCCUUGCAGUGAGAACUGGGGACAACCCCAGUGCCCUUCAGCAGAAGAGUGGACUGAUAAGCUGUGGUCCACGCAAAGUGGAACAUGAGCCCAAGUGGGAAUGGAUGAGCUACUGCAGUACCCACAACACGGAUUAGCCUAACAUGGCAGACCAGAGACAGCGUUCACUUUCUACCUCUGGGGAGUCACUCUACCACGUCCUUGGACUGGACAAGAAUGCAACCUCAGAUGACAUUAAAAAAUCCUAUCGGAAACUUGCCUUGAAAUAUCAUCCCGACAAGAACCCUGAUAACCCAGAGGCUGCAGACAAGUUCAAGGAGAUCAACAACGCCCACGCCAUCCUGACGGACGCCACCAAAAGGAACAUCUACGACAAAUACGGCUCCCUGGGGCUCUACGUGGCCGAACAGUUUGGGGAGGAGAACGUGAACACCUACUUCGUGCUCUCCAGUUGGUGGGCCAAGGCCCUGUUUGUUUUCUGUGGCCUCCUCACCUGCUGCUACUGCUGCUGCUGCCUGUGCUGCUGCUUCAACUGCUGCUGUGGGAAGUGCAAGCCCAAAGCGCCCGAGGGUGAGGAGACAGAGUUCUAUGUGUCCCCCGAGGACCUGGAGGCACAGCUGCAGUCUGAUGAGAGGGGAGGGCACUGACACUGUGCCGCGAGUGUUUGUGGUGGCAGCUGGGACUGUUGAGGUGUGAACAUGGACCCUGGAGAGGCCACAGACACGCCAAUCGUCAUACAGCCUGUGUCUGCCACUGAGACCACCCAGCUCACAGCCGACUCCCACCCCAGCUACCACACUGACGGGUUCAACUGAGUGCAGGAGGAGCUGUGGCCAGAGGCGGGACCAGCGCCUGCCCCCAACCUUAGCAUCAUGAACUGUAGUCACAGAGACGGGGAGGCUGCCACCUGCCUGCCGCAGCCACGCUGGGCCCCUCCUGCCGCCUCCAUGCCCACCCAGCAUCGACCCUUGACCCACGAAGUGCGUAGCAUGCAGUAUUUAAAGCAGUGUAGCUACGGUCUUCUUCUGUUUUUCCUUCUUUACUAGCAUGUGUGGGGUUGUGUUCCAUGUCUGUUUUGUGGACGUGCUGCGGCUGGGCCGUGGUAGCUGGGUGAGGGAGCUGCCUUGGGCUUUCAGUCAGGUCCACCUAGUGAGGGUUGGCCAUAGCCGCCAGAUGCUGCCUGGCCAGGUGGGCAAGGGAAGAAGAGAACUGUCUUUUCCUGUCCUGUGAUCUCGGUGGUGGGAGGCACCGGAAUGGUGAUUCUGUGUUGGCCGCAGGGUCUGGUCUGUGCUCUGUGCUCCUAGCUCCAAGGCCACAGCAAAGUUCUGAUAUCACCUACUAGGGAAGGGGCUGGGCCACAUCCUCCCAGCACUACCAGCUUCCUUGUCUGCGCUCCACGGUGCUUGUGUUGGGCACAGCUCACAUGGCUCUCUUCACCUGUUGAUGGGGCCUCCAGCAGGGUUGUUCCUGGGGGUCAGUUUGUGGCAGGAGGUGUAGGAGCCCAUCUGAGCCUGAAGCCAUGCUCUCCACAGUGUGUCCUUCUUGGGUCUCCUUGUCUCGUGGCUACGAGGUUCCUGUCUUUGGAACUGUGUCCUUUACCAGUGUCCCUCCCCAUACAGCAAGCUGGACUAUUUGGGCCACAUCUCUCCUCUCCCCUUCCCUGGGUCCUCCACAUUCCUUUAGGCCACCUGUCUUUUCCGGGAUCCUUUCUGGACCUUUAGAACCACAAUGAUGGGACCAGCGCAAUUAGUCACAGUCCCAGGGGCUGUGAGUUCCAGUGUGGGUGGUGCAUGUGUGAGCACCCUGCCCUGGGAUGAGUGUCCCCCAGAGCCCCAUCCGAGUGUUGACCAGAGCUCCCUCAACCCCACUAGCCUUCAUCUGUCCCCCAUGAUAAGGCAAGACCGGAGAGCUGGGUCCCUAAAGGCAGGGCUGACUGGGCUUUGUGAACUGUUGGGAGUUGGUCCCACCUGUCUGUAUCCCAGAAUGGGUGGGGAGCUAAGGAAAUGUGGGUAUGACUUCCGCAUGCACACCCAGGGUUCAGAGCUUCCCCAGGCCCAGCAGCUGCCCUUGUCCUGGCUUGACCCCUGGAGCAGAAUCCAGGGCUGGUUUCUGCAGAACUUAACUUUGGCUGCUACCGAGUAUCUCUGAAUUUCCAGUAGCGAUGAAGAGGAAGAGGAAGAGGCAGUGGUGCCUGAGGUGGCUCUGGCUCGGCCACACCAAAAGGGGCUUCAAAAUCCCACUCCUCCCUACCCACCUGCUGACUCUACUGCAGCUCACCUCAGCCCUUGCUGCCCACCCAGAGCUCUGCAGAGAAAGAUGUGCUAAGGAACAUGCUGCUAGUGGAGGUGACCCUCCAGGCCCAGCAAACCUGUGUAAUGGCCCAGACCAUAGACCUGGCCUAGCCAUGAGCCGGCUGCCAGAACCAGGCCCUUGGGUAGUUUGUUGUCCCAUUUUGCUUUGCUUUUUACCAGUUACAAUGAUCAUGAAAAUUUUGGUGAGAGGGAAGAUAUGCAUCAUGAUGUUAAGUAGAAAUGAUUUGUUAAAAUCAGACCCAUCAUAAAAGGAUAAGAGAUUUAUUGUUUGACCCCUCCUGAAACAAGGGAGGAGGAGCGAUAAUAGGGAAUCUUCUUUGCUGAUCCCAAUACAACAAAGAAUUUAGCCUGAGAUGCUGCUACAGCCAGUCUUUGUGAUUUUUCUUGAGACAGCUUAGGAAGUAACUUGUUUUCUCCCUAGAAUAGCCAAGAGCCAGCUUCAAAGCUUGGACUGAGGUGGAGAACUGUCUGUCUGGGGGCUGGGUCCCAGCUCCAUCUGGCCCUCUGGGGGGUCUCAUGCAGCUCUUUCAUACCUGUCCUGGUGGGCCCCUUGCCAGGUGGCUUCUCAGGCCCAGGAUCCUAUUGGCUUUUCUUAGAAGUACGCAGCUCCUCCUGGGUGGUGGGGUCUGGCAGAAAGAGCAGCAGGUCAGCAAGGUUAUUGAACCCAGUCCCUUACAUAAUUUGUAAAAAACUAAAUAAAUCAUGAUGGCCAUGACAGCAGUUCUCAGAGUGAUGAUGAUGAUCAUGAUCACACAGCCCCAAAGCACCUGGGCAUCCCAGACAGCUGGGCCUAGGGUUCUUCACUCUGCUUGACCCUGAGGCAAAACCCCUUUUCUGUGACCCUGUUGGUUGUAAGGUCUUGUCUUGAUUCAAGGAAAAAGAUCUCCUCAAUUUCAUUCUUUUUCUUGAAUGGACUCUUGGUCUCCUUUGAAUAAGCAGAGCUGGUAUCCCUGCUCACUUGCUAACACAUUGGACACCGUGCCUGUUGGAGGUGACAGAAGCACAGGGGCACCUCAACCCCACUCUAGGAUGCAGCAUAUUGUGCCAGCGGGUGCUGUGUCAGUGCAUGUUGGAGACCCAUCAGUUCCCAGAGCAGGGGUGGCCCCUGAGAAGUCUGGCAGUGUUGAUCACUUCUUACUGUUGGGAAGCACGUGCGAGAGCCCGUAGGCCCCAACACAGCAGCUGCGGUGUAGAUUUCUGUGCCCUCUCAGUGUUGUGGACUUGUCUUGUCUUCCUUCUGGCUUUAUUUUUAGCUAUUACUGCUUGGGGUUUGUGAACCUCCCUGGUUCUCUGACAUGCAAUUAAUGCACCAAUACCCAGUGGGACUUUUUAGAAAAAAGAAACCCCAUUGUGCUACAGUUGGCAGGAGGCUCUGUCCCUGUUAGCUAUGGACUUGGUCCUAAGGCCCAGUCAGGAAAGGCCUGUAGCAUGAAAUAGUCAUGACUGUCCUCAGACCUUCUGCCUGUGUGUCACCAGCAGCAGUGCCCAUUGUCCCAUGGAGCCUGUGACAGUCUACUCCAAUGAGCCCUGUGCAGCUGCUGGUCUGGGGUGCUGCAGGCAGAGUGCAGGUGGAUCCUGCCCACCCUCUGGCUCUCAGUGCACCUACCAUGGGGUGGCUUUUUAGGCAGAUAAAAAGUGACUGAUCUCAUUCCUUCCGGUUUUCUGAGCUGUGUACCCAUGUGGCACAGGACUGGCCUGUGGUUAGUUUGCUUGUAAGUCAUCCUCCUGUGGAAUUGACAAAAACUACAUUUUUACUGUCCUUACAAGCAAGGUUCACGUUGUCACAUGCUGUGAAUGUGAGCUGUGGUGUGUGUCCGUGUGUGUGCAUAUGUGUAUAUGUAUGUAUCACGCAGCAGGAGUGUCAUGCUGUCCGGCAGUGAAGCAAAAAGUACAAUAAAAGUUGACUCUGAAAUGGCCUCUGUUUUCUCAGCAAGUUGGAGGGACAGGGUCUCCAUAUGGUUUCGAGGGGUGCACAGAGGGGAAACACCCAGGCUACGUGUACAGGGACUGCAUGUGCUUGAGUACAUCAGGCAUUGUCAGGGUAAGAGUGACUAUCACAAACACCUGCCCAUCCCUGUGGUCAUGCUCACUUACCUAACCCGCAGGAGUGAACCCAUGUGAAAUCUUAGGGAUAACGGAAAACCCUUCCCUCCCUUGAAACAUUAAAACCAGUUUUCCAGGCAGCAGAUACAGUCAGUAGCAAAGUUGCAUCUGAAGGGUAGCCUGGGAAUGGGCUCUGCCCAGCCACAUGGGAGUGGGCAGGGGCCACAGCACCAUCCUGCAGGGUGGAGACGGCCCAGGACAUUAUUGGAGGCACUUCUGGGUAGAUUUUGUUUUUUUGGAAAAUGGGGGUAAUGUUUCCAGCCAAGUGAGGAUAGGAAGUUUACUCUGAGACAUACAUGCCUUGUUUUUAAAAUUAAAAAGCAAAUGCAUGGAAGUCAUCUGUCCAUGCACUGGCUUUGUCCAGACCAUGUUGGGUGUAGGCUGCUGUCAGCACCUCCAGCCAACCCAGCAGAACAUGCACAGGUGAGGCCAGGCUGGCUUCACAGAGUGGCCACUGUCUCGCUUGUCGGAAUGUUGACUUAAAGAUAACUGUUGUAAAAUAAAUGUUUUCACUGCAAA
This is an RNA transcript of Otolemur garnettii (small-eared galago), 5666 nucleotides long. It is a transcript of the gene named DnaJ heat shock protein family (Hsp40) member C5, with no coding region annotated. The record is from RefSeq and is a predicted model, not a curated record. The transcript has 6 exons. NCBI's taxonomy places the organism in Eukaryota, Metazoa, Chordata, Mammalia, Primates, Galagidae.